This 272-nucleotide ribosomal RNA is filed under the name uncultured bacterium. RNAcentral's name for it is "partial 16S ribosomal RNA". It matches the Rfam family "Bacterial small subunit ribosomal RNA", at positions 62 to 339 of the family's 1533-position model. The record is from RNAcentral.
UCGAACGAGAAAGCAUUUUCGGAUGUGAGUAAAGUGGCGAACGGGUGCGUAACACGUGGGUAUCUACCUCUUGGCGGGGGACAACAUCUGGAAACGGAUGCUAAUACCGCAUAAGUCGGCUUCGGCCGGGAAAGGUGGCUUCGGCUAUCACCAGGAGAUGAGCUCGCGGCCCAUCAGCUAGUUGGUGAGGUAAUGGCUCACCAAGGCUACGACGGGUAGCUGGUUUGAGAGGAUGAUCAGCCACACUGGGACUGAGACACGGCCCAGACUCC